Molecule: ribosomal RNA, 423 nt
Filed under: uncultured bacterium
Lineage: Bacteria
Description: bacterial SSU rRNA
Rfam family: Bacterial small subunit ribosomal RNA
Source: RNAcentral
UGAGGAAUAUUGGUCAAUGGGCUGAGGCCUGAACCAGCCAAGUCGCGUGAGGGAAGACGGUCCUAUGGAUUGUAAACCUCUUUUGCCGGGGAGCAACGACGCCACGCGUGGCGGAAGGGAGAGUACCCGGAGAAAAAGCAUCGGCUAACUCCGUGCCAGCAGCCGCGGUAAUACGGAGGAUGCGAGCGUUAUCCGGAUUUAUUGGGUUUAAAGGGUGCGUAGGCGGACUGUUAAGUCAGCGGUAAAAUUGAGAGGCUCAACCUCUUCGAGCCGUUGAAACUGGCGGUCUUGAGUGGGCGAGAAGUAUGCGGAAUGCGAGGUGUAGCGGUGAAAUGCAUAGAUAUCACGCAGAACUCCGAUUGCGAAGGCAGCAUACCGGCGCCCAACUGACGCUGAGGCACGAAAGCGUGGGGAUCGAACAGG